AGCAGUAGCCACGGGAACACGUAGGGUGCAAGCGUUGUCCGGAAUUAUAGGGCGUAAAGAGCUCGUAGGCGGUUUGUCGCGUCGGCUGUGAAAUCGCGGGGCUCAACCCCGCGCCUGCAGCCGAUACGGGCAAACUAGAAUUCGGUAGGGGAGGCUGGAAUUCCUGGUGUAGCGGUGAAAUGCGCAGAUAUCAGGAGGAACACCGGUGGCGAAGGCGGGUCUCUGGGCCGGUAUUGACGCUGAGGAGCGAAAGCGUGGGGAGCAAACAGGAUUAGAGACCCCUGUAGUCCCUGUCUCUUAUAC
Molecule: ribosomal RNA, 303 nt
Filed under: uncultured bacterium
Lineage: Bacteria
Description: partial 16S ribosomal RNA
Rfam family: Bacterial small subunit ribosomal RNA
Source: RNAcentral